This 253-nucleotide ribosomal RNA is filed under the name uncultured bacterium. RNAcentral describes it as "partial 16S ribosomal RNA". It matches the Rfam family "Bacterial small subunit ribosomal RNA", at positions 524 to 776 of the family's 1533-position model. The record is from RNAcentral.
UACGGAGGGUGCGAGCGUUAUUCGGAAUUAUUGGGCGUAAAGGGCGCGCAGGCGGUUUUCUAAGUCGGAUGUGAAAGCCCGGGGCUUAACCCCGGAAGCGCAUUUGAUACUGGAAGGCUUGAGUAUGGGAGAGGGAAGCGGAAUUCCUGGUGUAGCGGUGAAAUGCGUAGAUAUCAGGAGGAACACCGGCGGCGAAGGCGGCUUCCUGGACCAAUACUGACGCUGAGGCGCGAAGGCGCGGGGAGCAAACAGG